AUUGAACGCUGGCGGCAUGCUUUACACAUGCAAGUCGAACGGCAGCGCGGGCUUCGGCCUGGCGGCGAGUGGCGAACGGGUGAGUAAUACAUCGGAACGUGCCCAGUAGUGGAGGAUAGCUCGGCGAAAGCCGGAUUAAUACCGCAUACGACCUGAGGGUGAAAGCGGGGGAUCUUCGGACCUCGCGCUAUUGGAGCGGCCGAUGGCAGAUUAGCUAGUUGGUGGGGUAAAGGCCUACCAAGGCGACGAUCUGUAGCUGGCCUGAGAGGACGACCAGCCACACUGGGACUGAGACACGGCCCAGACUCCUACGGGAGGCAGCAGUGGGGAAUUUUGGACAAUGGGCGAAAGCCUGAUCCAGCAAUGCCGCGUGUGUGAUGAAGGCCUUCGGGUUGUAAAGCACUUUUGGCGGGAACGAAAAGGACUGUGCCAAUACCACGGUUCGAUGACGGUACCCGCAGAAUAAGCACCGGCUAACUACGUG
This 484-nucleotide ribosomal RNA is filed under the name uncultured bacterium. Its description in RNAcentral is "partial 16S ribosomal RNA". It matches the Rfam family "Bacterial small subunit ribosomal RNA", at positions 29 to 507 of the family's 1533-position model. The record is from RNAcentral.